RNAcentral lists this long non-coding RNA (227 nucleotides) under Elaeis guineensis (African oil palm). Its description in RNAcentral is "long non-coding RNA (EGUI_LNC014565)". The record is from RNAcentral. Lineage: Eukaryota; Viridiplantae; Streptophyta; Magnoliopsida; Arecales; Arecaceae.
UAUAUAUAAAAAUAUAUAUAAAUAAUAUUAAUGAAAAAAUAAAGAAGUAUUAUAUUUUUAUCAAAAAAAUUAAUGAGGGAUAAUUUUGUCAAUGUAAAAGUUCAUCCUUCAAUGCUCCAUCCUUCCUUCAUCCUCCCAAUUUGGAAGAAUGCAAAAAGGUGGGUUAAGGUGGAUGAACAAUCCAUCUUUUUCAUCUAUCCUUCCUAUAACUUUUUUAAACCAAAUAG